GUCUAUGGCCAUGCCACCCUGAAUAUGCCCAAUCUCGUCUGAUCUCGGAAGCUAAGCAGGGUCGGGCCUGGUUAGUACUUGGAUGGGAGACCACCUAGGAAGACCAGGUGUUGGUGUUU
This 119-nucleotide ribosomal RNA is filed under the name Pteropus alecto (black flying fox). The record is from RNAcentral. Lineage: Eukaryota; Metazoa; Chordata; Mammalia; Chiroptera; Pteropodidae.